CCCUUAGAUGUCCUGGGCCGCACGCGCGCUACACUGAUGCAUUCAACGAGUCUACCUUGGCCGAGAGGCCUGGGCAACCUUUUAAACGUGCAUCGUGAUAGGGAUAGAUUAUUGCAAUUAUUAAUCUUGAACGAGGAAUUCCUAGUAAACGCAAAUCAUCAAUUUGCAUUGAUUACGUCCCUGCCCUUUGUACACACCGCCCGUCGCACCUACCGAUUGAAUGGUCCGGUGAGGCCUCGGGAUUGUGACUAGUUCACUUCAUUGUGAGCUGGUUGCGAGAACUUGUCCAAACCUUAUCAUUUAGAGGAAGGUGAANUCGUAACA
Molecule: ribosomal RNA, 324 nt
Filed under: uncultured eukaryote
Lineage: Eukaryota
Description: partial 18S ribosomal RNA
Rfam family: Eukaryotic small subunit ribosomal RNA
Source: RNAcentral